RNAcentral lists this ribosomal RNA (408 nucleotides) under uncultured bacterium. Its description in RNAcentral is "partial 16S ribosomal RNA". It matches the Rfam family "Bacterial small subunit ribosomal RNA", at positions 28 to 526 of the family's 1533-position model. The record is from RNAcentral.
GACGAACGCUGGCGGCGUGCUUAACACAUGCAAGUCGAACGAAGUGGCGCACGGGUGAGUAAUACGUGGGGAACCUGCCCUCCUUUAUGGGAUAAGCCAUGGAAACGGGUGCUAACACCGACAAUAGGUGGUGGGGCUAGCGGCUUAUCAGCUUGUUGGUGGGGUGAUGGCCUACCAGGGCGGUGACGGGUAGCCGGCCUGGGAUGGUGACCGGCCACCUUGGGACUGAGAUACGGCCCAGACUCCUACGGGAGGCAGCAGUGGGGGAUAUUGGACAAUGGGCGAAAGCCUGAUGCAGCGACGCCGCGUGUGGGAUGAAGGCUUUCGGGUUGUAAAGUACUUUCAGUCGGGAGGCGUUACCGACAGAAGAAGCACCGGCUAACUCCGUGCCAGCAGCCGCGGUAAUAC